UUUGAGAAAGCAAAGAAUGCAUUUAACUGUUAAUUAAAAGAAGGCCAGUAAGGCUCUCAAAC
Molecule: transfer RNA, 62 nt
Filed under: Siphonaria gigas (giant false limpet)
Lineage: Eukaryota; Metazoa; Mollusca; Gastropoda; Siphonariida; Siphonariidae
Description: tRNA-Asn
Source: RNAcentral